GAUGAAGAACGCAGCGAAAUGCGAUACUUGGUGUGAAUUGCAGAAUCCCGCGAAUCAUCGAGUUUUUGAACGCAAGUUGCGCCCGAAGCCAUUCGGCCAAGGGCACGUCUGCCUGGGUGUCACGCAUCGUUGCCCCCCCAAACUCCGGUUCGGGCGGGGCGGAAGUUGGCCUCCCGUGCGUGCCUGCGCGCGCGGUUAGCCCAAAAGCGAGUCCUCGGCGACGAGCGCCACGACAAUCGGUGGUUUUUUUACCCUCGUUCCUCGUCGUGCGUGUCCCGUCGCCCGAACGCGCUCUUGUGACCCUCACGCGUCGCCUCGGCGGCGCUCCCAACGCGACCCCAGGUCAGGCGGGACUACCCGCUGAGUUUAAGCAUAUCAAUAAGCGGAGGA
Molecule: unclassified non-coding RNA, 390 nt
Filed under: soil metagenome
Description: partial contains 5.8S ribosomal RNA, internal transcribed spacer 2, and large subunit ribosomal RNA
Rfam family: 5.8S ribosomal RNA (bases 1-122)
Source: RNAcentral